Apteryx owenii (little spotted kiwi) is the source of this 463-nucleotide long non-coding RNA. The record is from Ensembl. NCBI's taxonomy places the organism in Eukaryota, Metazoa, Chordata, Aves, Apterygiformes, Apterygidae.
CAGCAGCCCAUGAAAGAAGCAGAUAUUGCAGGCUGGGCUGUCCUUAUAACUACUUAGACUAAACAUUGACUCUUCUCUUUCAACUCCAGAGACUGAGGCUGUGAUUUUCCAUGAAGCUUCUGGGGAACAGAGCUGGAUGCUUAAGGUCCCAUCUUUCAAACUCACUGCAAACGGUCAACGGAAUUGCAGUGAAAUAUAGCAGGGACAGGCUACUGAGCAGUACUACCAAAGCUCCCACUGAAUUUAAAGGCAUGUCUGGUACAAACAGCAGUUGCUACUGGAUAUACGUGCGUCACUGGUGGUUUUCCUGUACAAUUUAUUGUAAGCAGAACACAUUUUACUGUCUGUGACGAAUAACAGAAAGUAACUGGCAGGAUGAAUCUGCUGUGGGUUCAGGUUUAUACAGCUGCAGCUCAGCCUCCCUGAAAUGCAUUUACAAAUAAAGAGUGAUUGCUGCCUUGCA